UGGCUCAGAACGAACGCUGGCGGCAUGCCUUACACAUGCAAGUCGAACGGUAACGCGGGGCAACCUGGCGACGAGUGGCGAACGGGUGAGUAAUAUAUCGGAACGUGCCCAGUAGUGGGGGAUAGCCCGGCGAAAGCCGGAUUAAUACCGCAUACGACCUACGGGUGAAAGCGGGGGAUCGCAAGACCUCGCGCUAUUGGUUCGGCCGAUAUCAGAUUAGCUAGUUUCUCGCGUAAAGGCCGGCAAAAACGACGAUCUGUAGCUGGUCUGAGAGGACGACCGGCCAC
This 287-nucleotide ribosomal RNA is filed under the name uncultured bacterium. RNAcentral's name for it is "partial 16S ribosomal RNA". It matches the Rfam family "Bacterial small subunit ribosomal RNA", at positions 20 to 311 of the family's 1533-position model. The record is from RNAcentral.